UAAUUCUCCAAACCACCCUAUUCACCUCAAAUUGGUGACCCCGACGUGAUCGACAGCGAAAAGAGGUGUGACCCUGAUAGCGCUACCGAGAUUUCGAUCAUCGCGAAUCUAAGACUGUGACAAUAUGGACCUUACAGCUGCGACGAGCGGAACGGCCCUUCCUUCUUCAGCAAAACCUCGACGCCUCACCGCUGACCCACGCAAGCAGGUGACAGGAUACGGAGACGACGAUGACCAAGCCAGGAGUGAUGAUGUGGUCAUUGCGAAGUUCAUGGGCAUCACUACCAGCACGUCAUACUGAAAAAAGGAACAGAGGCCUACGACCGUACGCGGAACGCCCCGCACCGUACCGACGGUAUUCACCGCCACAUCGAAGACUUCGCGCAACAUCUGCACGGGUUUGGCAACAAAUGGCUGACGCUUUACCACACAUAGAAGGAACGUUUAUCACUGGUAAGGGGGUACUGUGGCGGCACUCGACAGCAAAUACCACCGGACGACACCAACUAGUGUCGGACGACGGUGUAGCGCAGUGGUUAGCGUAAGUAGACUACCGAGCUGUCCUGUUUUUGCGACCAGUUUUUUCAGGACAGAGAUAGGAAGAAAAAACAAUAUCGUAUAUAAGCAGCGCUCUACAGCGACUUAAAUCAAAUUUAAAAAUAGUAACGCUAAAAAAUGUAAUUUCGACACACAAAACAUUGUAUGGCUAUGUCGUACCGUCACGUAUCGGUACUUUUGCCUAAACCAUCCCACAACCGAAAUUCAUUGUUUGUUAUG
Molecule: long non-coding RNA, 777 nt
Organism: Bombus impatiens (common eastern bumble bee)
Lineage: Eukaryota; Metazoa; Arthropoda; Insecta; Hymenoptera; Apidae
Exons: 3
Source: RefSeq, a predicted model, not a curated record